This 133-nucleotide ribosomal RNA is filed under the name uncultured bacterium. RNAcentral's name for it is "partial 16S ribosomal RNA". The record is from RNAcentral.
ACGUAUUUAGCCGGGGCUUUCUUCUUAGGUACCGUCACUAUCUUCCCUAAGAACAGAACUUUACGACUCGAAAGCCUUCAUCAUUCACGCGGCAUCGCUGCAUCAGGGUUUCCCCCAUUGUGCAAUAUCCCCC